UACGAAGGAUGCUAGCGUUACUCGGAAUUACUGGGCGUAAAGAAUAUGUAGGCUGAUUAUUAAGUUGAUAGUGAAAUCCCCGAGCCUAACUCGGGAACUGCUCUCAAAACUGAUAGUCUAGAAUAUGGUAGAGAGUAAGGGAAUUCUUGGUGUAGGGGUAAAAUCCGUAGAUAUCAGGAGGAAGACCGGAAGCGAAAGCGCUUACUUGGGCCAUCAUUGACGCUGAGAUAUGAAAGCGUGGGGAUCGAACAGG
Molecule: ribosomal RNA, 253 nt
Filed under: uncultured bacterium
Lineage: Bacteria
Description: partial 16S ribosomal RNA
Rfam family: Bacterial small subunit ribosomal RNA
Source: RNAcentral